Non-coding RNA from Ictidomys tridecemlineatus (thirteen-lined ground squirrel), 6197 nucleotides. The record is from RefSeq and is a predicted model, not a curated record. Lineage: Eukaryota; Metazoa; Chordata; Mammalia; Rodentia; Sciuridae.
UCACUGACCCCAGCCCCAGCCCUAAACAUUUCUUUUUGAGGGUCAUAGUGAAAAGAGGAAAAAUGCUGCAUAGCCCCAAGCUUUCAUUUAAAAAAGCAGACUUGGAAUAGUUUGAAAAUUUAGGUAACGUUGUUUUCAUUGCUCUGUGCUUUUAUGGUUACCUUCCAGUUAAGACAAUUGACUAACGUGCCUUUAACUUUGUGUAAGUCAAAAGUGAGUUGAUUUCUGUCACAGCAGAAAGUCGAGUAGCAGUGGUGAGGUGGCUGUGAGUGGAGGUUGUGGAGUCUGGCUUACAGAGCGGGAAAACUGAGUUAACACAAAAGUGCCAGUAACUGGCCUUUAGCCUCCCAGCCCAACAGCGGGUGUGGGUGUGAUGGAGCACUGUGCUUCCUGCGGGUUCCAGUCAGCAAGUGUGUCCUGGGCGCCUUCUGUGUGCUUGCGGCCAUUUGGGUACUGGCAACAACUGUGAGCAAAACAGACAGCCCCUGCGUGCAGGGAGUAAGCAUUCUGCAGGGACCAGAGCCAUGUCUGUUUGCUCACUGCGGCGAGUGCCCACUGAGUGUGCUGCGCGGGGGCCGGUGGCCAGGAGUGAGUGAAGGCUCCCCUGCUGGGUAGCUGCGAGUGGCAGAGGAGCACGCUGCUGCUUACUGCGCCAGGCUUGUGCCAGCUGUUUCCACACUGGACCGAGAGCAGCUCUCAGCUGUCCCCACUUUUCAGAUGGGAACUGGCUUAAAAACAGGCAACUUGGCUGAGGCGUGAUAGGGAACAAGAGGUACUUUUAAUUUGGGGCACAAUUCCAAAGGACUGUGGCUCUUUUGCCACCAGGGGUCGCAGUUACCAGUGUCAUCCCUGCUCAGGUGAAGAGCAAAGCUCCCUCUGCUUUCCUCCCUCCUCCCCUCCUCUACUCCCCUGCUUCCCCCUGUUCCCAUCUGCCCUCCCUUGAACUUGCUCCUUUUUCCCCUCAACGCCUAGCUGAGCGUCAGUAUGUGGCAGGCACUGGCUGUCACUCAGGACAGUGUGGCCUGGCCCCUUCCCGUCACCUCACCAUUUCCCCACUUCUUCACUUGUUCUUUUGCGAGGUGUUUAGCGAGCGUUUGGCUGCGCCCAGCUCUGCUAGAUCCUGAAAAAGCUGCAGUGGCAGGGACCGUCCCACAGCCCUCUGGAGAUCCCUGAUCCUGCUGCGCUCUGCCCCCAGUGGCUCUCUGGCUGGUCUCCCUGGUUUUGCCCUGACCCCUAGUUCUUCACUCAGUAGGGAGAGGGACCCUUUUAAACCAGACAUGCCACCCCUCCAUCCAGAGGUCUGAUGACUCCAUCCUUGUCUCCUUGCUUACCCAUGGCACAAGUUGGCACCCCCUCGCCACAGUGUCCUCGUCCAUGACCUGAGCCGAGAGCAGAGCCUGCUGUGUGGGCCUGCUGUGAGCACAUCUGGCUCAGGAUUCCCAGGAUGCAGAUACAGCUGGGUGAGUAUUAGUGAGUCACACCUCAGGGACCCACACCCCGGGUGACAUCCUGUAGGAGAAUCAGUAUCUGGGACUGAAAUCUUGAGAAACACCUUAUUGAACAUGGAGCAGUGACCACCACAAAGAAUGACCGUGAUGACCAUGAGGACCCUUUGCGGACAAUCCCCCAGCAAUGGCCAAACUGCAGAGGUUCCCCCGCCCCUUCUCCCUCCUGUAACCUCCCGAGGCUGUCAGGGGAAGUCAGGCUCCAGUGUCACUGGGCCCCUGUGCAGGUUGUCCCCAAUAGCCCCGUGUUACUACUGAGCUCCUCUCCUGCCUCUUUAUUUCCUUCAGUUGGUUCUUUUCUUACAUUUUGGUGCUGAAAUGGGGGACUGGCAACUGGCAUUUGGACUUCCCACAUGGGCAGCCCCUCAGGCCUUCCCUUGACCUUGACCUGGUCUCCUCCUUUCCCUUUCUCAUCCCCCUUCCCUUCCCUCUGCAGAUCCAGUAGGGACAACUCAUGUUACUGGACCUCCACCGCCAUGGCCAUUGCCUAUUGGGUGAGUGAUGCCCUCCAACUCUUCUGGAUUUCUGGAAUCCCUGCCUCGGUUUCCCUCUCUGUGGGCACUGUCCCUCUGACAAAUCCCAUCACUGGAUGAGAAUUCCUGCCACACUGGUGGCAAUGACUUGCAUUCUGUGGGGAUGCCCAUCAGUCGCCUGUGGUUCCAUUGGUCCUUCCUGGAACAUCCCUGUCAGUGCUCGCCCUCAGGCAUCACCCACAGUGUGGGACCCCUCCAGCCCACUGCGGCUGCCCGUCCCACUCCUGUUAAGGUCUCCGUACAGUGGGCUGGGGCUGCGGCUCGGGCAGAGCACUGCCCAGCAUGUCGGAGGCCCUGGGUUCGUUCCUCAGCAUCACAGAAUAAACAAAAUAAAGGUAUUGUGUCCACCUACAGAGAUUUCCCUACAAGACCCUGUCUCUUCCCUUUGCAAAUCCCAAUAUCUUCUUAGUCCCCAGGUCAUUGUUUCCUGGCUUCUCCAGGCUAACAUUCUUCCACUCACUGACUCCUCUCAGAACACCCCAAUUUUGACCAUUAAAAAACCCUUCCUUGAAGGGGAUCUGGGCCUCACAUCGGUGUCCACUGCGAGCACCAGUGUUGUGAAACUUGGGGAGCACUAACUGCCCCUGCCAGCGCCAGGCACUCAGGAACAGCAAGCGGUGUAGCUGUAGGAUCACGCAUAUUGCAAACAAGCAACUAGGAUACAGCCUCUUGUGCCCCUCUGUAAGCCUAGGUGCACAUCCCACAUUGCUGGACCCGGUUCAGUGUUUCUGAAUCAAGGCUGAGAAUUUGCCUUCCUAGUAAGCUCGGUAGUGCUCGGACUGCUGUUCUGGGAACUACUGCCCUAAACAUCAAGGUGUGUCAUGAGAAAAAUGGGAACUGGUGCUGGGAAGGCAGGAAGCAAUUGUGAUUUCCUGUGCCCAUUUUAUGGAUGAUGGAGCUGAGGCCCAGAGAUGCUAAGCAACUUUCCCAGAGUCAUCAGCCUGCAAAUGGUAGAUUGUGCCAGACAUGAUCUGUUGCCUAAAAGAGGCAUGUGGCUCCUCUUAACUCUUUGGACAGAGCCCCAAUUUGCCCAAGGGUGUGUUAGGUGAAGCUCAGAUUGGUCCCUGAUGGACAGGUGGGCAUGUGACCCCUUUUUGGUCACCAAGACUAGACACAAGGGCAAAUCUGUAAAGAUUGCUUCUGUGGAUGAUGUUACAUGUCAUGGAAGGUCUUGAGAGGGGCGAGUUCACACCCUGCCCUGAUCCCAAAACACCCCCAUCAGUGAUUCCUGCUUUAAAUGAGGCCACCUGGGAGGUCAGGAGUGGAGGACGAUGGGUAGGGAGCCAGGCAGGCAGGAGGCUGCACUUGGGGAGGCCACAGCCCAGCUGAGAGUACAUAGAAGCCAGCAGGCCCACCCAGCCAGGCACAGACCCCAGUCCCGCACAGCUCUGCUCAUUCCGGGCACCUUGUUGCCUUUCCUGGUCAGGCCAGGACAUUGGGGACCACAGGCCCCUCUGCUUAGAUCAAAGUAGCAACAGAGCCAUAAAGGAGAUCUGAGAUCUCCUCUUCAAGGACGGUGGCGGGAACACUGGACUGGAUGUGGCCCACUCAAGGCCUGGCCAGUCUCUGCCCCCAGCUGUCCCUGAAGGAGGGGAGAGUGCCCAAGUGAAGGUUUGGUCUGAGCCAGUGGCUGAUGACCUGGACACUGUUCACUGGGUCCACAGGAUGUUCAUUUCCCAGUUGCCAAGUUAAGCACUCACAGUCCAGAGCCCUGACUUGUCUGGAAAGAUUGCCAGGAUCCAACUGCCCUGGGCCUGUCCUGACAUUGGCCUUGUAAAGGGGCUUUGCUCACCCUGUCCCCACUCCUCCAGGUUCUCCUUCACUCAGGCUGCCUGCCCGUUCCCGUGUGUGUCCUCCUGUCCUCUCCCUGUGGACUCAAGAGGGAGGGUGCUCUCGCUCUCAGACAUCUUCGCCUCCACACUGCCUCUCCCUGCAACACUGGAGUGCGCAACCCCUAGACAGACGAUCAGCAUCUUCUCCAGGGGCCUCCAAGCUGCCUCUAAUCUCAAUCAUCCAAAACAAACCCGUGGCUCCAGCCCUUGCUCUCUGCUCCCACCACCAUCUGCCCAUCUAACCUGUGGGAGAGCCAGCGCCUGGGCUGAACCUGGGCGUUCCUCUCACUCCCAUCUUGCACCCCGACCCAGACCCGCUGAAGCCCACUCAGCUUUACCUGCAGAGGGAAUCAGAAGGUAGGAGACUGGCUACCCUUGAGGCGGGCCGUGCAGCGGGGGCUCCUGGAGACUCCUGGGAGAGUGGAGGUUCUGCUUCUUGAGAUGAGAGCUGAGUACGUGGGUGGUUGGUUGGUGAAUCUACUCAAACUCCCCUCGUCCACACGCGCACCUCUCUGCAUUGCUGUUACGUUUCUAUGUAGAAGUCCUGUGUAACCGGCCACACGCCCCGCCUAGCAUCCUAGCAGCUGCGGAGUCCCAUUCAGUCCUCUGCAGGACACUGUGGUGGUCCCUCCUCACUCAGGGCCACCCCAGCUCUCACCCUGUGGCCCCUCUCUGCUCUCUGCUGUGCCCCCCACUCUCGGCGGGGCGAGCCACACUGGGCCCCUCGCCCUUUCCCAGCUGCAGCCACGCCAGAGGCCUUUGUGUUUCCUGUUCCCUCUGCCUUGUGACACUAUCCCCAGGGUCUUCUCACGGCUGCUUCUUUGGUUUCCUUCAGCCAAUGCCAGAGGCAUUCUGCCUGCAAAUGCCUGGCAAACCCCCUGUGAAUGAGGAAAGACCCCCAGCCCCCAUCUGCUCCCCAGCUUCAUCUCCUGGAUCUUGGCCACUUGCGGUCCCUUGACUCGCCUGCUCCGGUGCUUACCGCGUGGGCCCCUCAGCCCUGGGUCCUGGGCAGGGAGCCCUGUUUGGCCCACUUCUCUCUCCCUGGUCUCUAAGAUGGCACCUGGAAUGUAGUGGGUGCUCCUUUAUUGGAUUGGGCUGGAUUCCCUCUUACACACCCAGCCUGCGUGCUGGACACAGUCAAGGGUCCACUUGAGCCUCCCCCCCCCUCUCUCACACACACACACACACCCCGUACACACACACAGCCGUUCUCAUGCCCACACGCGUUCCUCCUACCUAAGGUCUCCUCUGCUGGAGGCAAAACAGAGCGUGCUCCCAGCCAGGGGUUUGGAACAAAAAACACUCAGAACCCUGGGGGUCUGAUGCCGAUCAAAGGCCGCUUGGUGUUUGUAAACCUUCACCCUCUGCCCAGGAGAAAGGAGGGCAGGGAUGGCCAGGAACCCAGAGCUGUCAGAGCUCCAGGCCUUCCCCAGAGUGAGGAAAGGCCAGUGAGGCCAAGCUGCCUGACCGCCCCCUCCUGGGGACAUGAAGGGGGUGACUAAUCCCAAGCCCAGCCUGAGGGCACUCUGCUGGGACCUGCUUCAACACCAAUAUUGCUCUUGGAGCUGCAGAGACCUUGAGUGAAAUGUCACACUGAAAGAUGCUGACAGUGGCGCAGGGGAGAGGAGGGGCUGGAGCAGGGCAGGGGACUAGAGAUCCUCUGGGGAGGCAGCACCCCCAACUCUCUCCCCUGCCUGCUGUAUUCUUAUUCAUCGUGUUAAAGUCAGGCGGGAUGCUGUCCAUUUUACACACGUGUCUUGUCUUAGAACUACUCGAACGAAACCAGCAAAACUUUGGCUCCAUCACUGCCGCACCUCCAGCACCCAGAAUAAUGCCUGCAAAUGCCAAAGCCUCUCACCACAAAACUGUCUCUGGUUACGAAGGAAGAUUUCCAGGAAUGCCAACACCCACCGAGCAAUGGCGAGUAAAUGAAUAUUGACACAGGAAUCCAGCUUCGUUUUCUGUGAUUUAAUGUUGUUAUUUAAUGUGGUUGUUAUGGUUUGGAUGGAAAGUGUCCCCAAAAGUUCAUGUUUUACAAACAUGGUGUUCCCUGUAGCAAUGUUCAGAGGUGAAAUAAUGAGAGGAUGAGCACCCCGACCUCAUCAGUGGAUGAAUGCGUUUGGUGGAUCAGUGAUUUGUAGGCGGGGGGCGGGGGGGUGUGGCUGGAGGAAGUAGGUCCCUGGGGUGGUCUUUGGGGUCUGUAUUGAGUCCCUGGCUCCUACGCUCACACCCACUCUCCCUGCUUCCCAGCCCAGGAGCUGAGCAGUGGAGUUGGCUAACCUCGGACUGAGACCUCGGAAACCAAAAUAAAGCCAAAAUGAAACGUU